UUGAAAGGGAAACGAUUGAAGUCAGUCGUACCUGCGGGUAAUCAGCCUUUUGGGCAUGAUUCUGUGGAGCAUGAGGAGUUAAACGCCUUCAUGCCUGCAUAUUCGUGUACUUUGGGUGUACUUGCCUGUGUGGUUAGUUAACAUCAAUUUUGGUUAUCAUAAAAUGGUUGGAGGAAUGUAGCUUCGAUUUCGAUUGAAGUGUUAUAGCCUUCGGCAGAUGUGAUGAUCGGGAUUGAGGAUUGCAACGGAUACCCUUCGGGGCUACCUGUCUGGUCUCUGAUCGUUGCUCUGGUGCCGAAAGCGUGCUUACGGUUAUCAAAGUCGAUGGUUAAUAGGUUAGAAUGGGUUAAAUUCGUUAAGGAUGUUGACGUA
Molecule: ribosomal RNA, 372 nt
Filed under: uncultured Glomeromycotina
Lineage: Eukaryota; Fungi; Glomeromycota
Description: eukaryotic LSU rRNA
Source: RNAcentral